UGGCAGGGUCUGGGGAAGCGGCGGCAGGCGCCAUGUCUGGCCGCGAAGGUGGCAAGAAGAAGCCACUGAAACAGCCCAAGAAGCAGGCCAAGGAGAUGGACGAGAUAAGGCUUUCAAGCAGAAACAAAAAGAGGAGCAGAAGAAACUCGAGGAGCUAAAAGCGAAGGCCGCGGGGAAGGGGCCCUUGGCCACAGGUGGAAUUAAGAAAUCUGGCAAAAAGUAAGCUGUUCCUUGUGCCUGAGGAGAUGGUGACCCUUUAUUUCAUCUGUAUUUAAACCUCUCUAUUCCCUGCCAUAACAUCUUUUGCCACGUAUAGCUGGAAUUAAGUGUUGUCUUGGAGCUGUUGUACAUUUAAGAAUAAACUUUUGUAAAAAAAAAAAAAAAAAAUCUUACAGUGGCUCAUCAUCUCUUUAGUUGUUUUCACUAAGUCAUUCCUACCAUAACUGUGAAUUUAAAGUAAAACCAGCUCAGAAUCUUGCCAGAGUCUGUUCUUUGGUCCUUGUUCUACCCUAAACUUUGUAUCACCUGAAAUUAAACCAACUCAUUUGAAAGGAUGGCGUUCUUGUGUGGUUGUAUACCUGACAGAAUACCUUACAUGAGUUUAGUGGAAGAAUUUGCACUUUUUUUUGGUGGGGGAGGGGG
This 642-nucleotide long non-coding RNA is filed under the name Pan troglodytes (chimpanzee). RNAcentral describes it as "long non-coding RNA NONPTRT011384". Lineage: Eukaryota; Metazoa; Chordata; Mammalia; Primates; Hominidae. The record is from RNAcentral.